Non-coding RNA from Daucus carota subsp. sativus, 87 nucleotides. NCBI's taxonomy places the organism in Eukaryota, Viridiplantae, Streptophyta, Magnoliopsida, Apiales, Apiaceae. The record is from Rfam.
AGGCUAUGAUUUUAUAUUAUCCGCGCUUCUGAGAGUAAUCAUUGAAGUAUAAAGGAUAAAUAUGGUUGAAUUUCUUGAUAUGAGCCU